UACGAAGGGGGCGAGCGUUGUUCGGAUUUACUGGGCGUAAAGGGCGCGCAGGCGGCGGAUUUUGUCAGGCGUGAAAGCCCCGGGCUUAACCUGGGAACUGCGCUUGAGACGGGUUCGCUAGAGAUCGGGAGAGGAGAGUGGAAUUCCCAGUGUAGAGGUGAAAUUCGUAGAUAUUGGGAAGAACACCGGUGGCGAAGGCGGCUCUCUGGACCGAUACUGACGCUGAGGCGCGAAAGCGUGGGGAGCAAACAGG
Molecule: ribosomal RNA, 253 nt
Filed under: uncultured bacterium
Lineage: Bacteria
Description: partial 16S ribosomal RNA
Rfam family: Bacterial small subunit ribosomal RNA
Source: RNAcentral